RNAcentral lists this long non-coding RNA (4110 nucleotides) under Homo sapiens (human). RNAcentral describes it as "HSALNT0365305". The record is from RNAcentral. Lineage: Eukaryota; Metazoa; Chordata; Mammalia; Primates; Hominidae.
CGGGAGGGAGACUUUCCCCGUGGACCCCUUUGUACCUCUUGAGUCUUGAAGGCUGUGAAUGUAUCACAUGUUCAAAAUGCAUCAACUGUUGGAAAAUAAAUACAAACACGAUGGAAACCCCAUCUGUGCAGCACAUGUUUAGUGGGUGCCCCUCUGUGCCUGGGAGCAAGGGUGUGAGAGAGCAGGCCAUGCUCACACCUUUCAAAAGAGUGAGGGGAGAGGAAGAGAGGUAUGUCCGUGAUUAUAAUCAUCAUUGGUGAGUUCAAUGCCAGAGGAAGCCUGGAGUCCUCUGGGCUCACAGAGGAAUCCAAGUGGGUAGUUAGAAAGGGCUUCCUGGAGGAAGAGAUUCUUGAGCUGUUUCGAAGGUAGCAUAAGAGUUGACUGGGUGGAGAAGGGAGGGAAGGUUUGGAUGAGAUUGAAGUGUGGGUUUCUAUUCUGACUGCCAAAACCUGUGGUGCCUUUGGGUGUUAGUCUUCCCAUUCAUAACAUAGGAAACCUUGGUUCAGGGAGCCAGGCAGGAAAGUAGUUCCAGCCCCUAGAAUUUCAGCCCUCAGCUAUCCCUCUGAAGCCGCUGUGGGCACCCUAGUUCUGUGCAGGCUGCUGCUUCCCAGAGAGGUGCUCUUGCUAGCUGAGGACAGCGGGCCAGCCCCUUCCGGCUGCUUCCCCUACUUAUGGAUUCGUCUUGUAUGCUCCGAUUCCAAAUCCUGCAGGAUUUAAUAUCCACUCUGUAAUCUACUGGCACCAAUAGGCAUUAUCUAACUAAACCUUAAAUUGAAAAUGCUAGGCUUCUAUUUUCCCCGCGCCGUCGGGAGAAGUUGGGACUCUCUUCGUCCAAUGUAAUUUACUCUUGCACUAAUUAAAGUGCGUCACUCUGCUGUCCUCGAAGGCACGCAGCCUGCCCCCGACAAGGAAUGCAGCUGGGGCAGACGAGGCAAAGCAGGGGCUGGGUGGGCUGGCCAAUCUAGGGCUGCAAGAUGGUUCCUGCAUCCAUCCCAAGUGCCUCUUGCUUUAAGGCCAUUUCAUUUCCUGAGAGAUUGAGAGUUCACUUGCUGUAAUAUUCAUUCAUUCAUUCACUCACUCAUUCACUCCCUACCUCCCUCCUGCAUUUAUUAAGCACUCAAGGCAGGCACAGAAAUAAAAGCUGCUAAACAUACGGUCAGGCUCUUCUCUCCAGCCCCUUCCCCAGUGUUGUGAGGGUUUCACAGGAUGCAGGUUCCCAGGCCACAUCAGCUCGCAGAGCAACCCAGGGAUGGGGAGCAAGAACAGCUAAUGUUACAGAUGCUUCCUUUCACCCAACAUUAUUUAAAUAACUCUGUUUUUUUAAAAAUGAAACUUCUUAUUUUGAGAUCACUGUAGAUUCACAUGCAGUUGUAAGAAAUAAUAGAGAUCCAGUGUGCCCUUUGCCCAGUUUCCCCCAAUAUUAACAUCUUGCAAAACUAUAGUACAAGAUCAUGACCAGGAAAUAGACGCUGACACAGUCAAGAUGCAGACUGUUCCGUCACCACAAGGAUCUCUCCUGUUGUCUCUUCAUAGGCACUUUCCCCCUUUCUCUUCUUUUCUGACCCCUGGCAACCAUGAAUCUCUGUUUCUAUAAUUUUGUCAUUUUAAGAAUGUCACAGAAUCAUUUAACCUUUUGGGAUAGGCUUGAAUAACUCAUUUAAUGCUUUUUUUUUUUUUUUUUUUUUUUUGAAGGAGUCUUACUCUCUUGCCAGGCUGGAUUGCAAUGGCGCGAUCUCGGCUCACUGCAACCUCCACCUCCCAGGUUCAAGCGAUUCUCCUGCCUCAGCCUCCCAAGUAGCUGGGACUACAGGCGCACACCACCAUGCCUGGCUAAUUUUUGUAGUUUUAGUAGAGACAGCGUUUCACCAAGUUGGCCAGGAGGUCUUGAUCUCUUGACCUCGUGAUCCGCCCACCUCGGCCUCCCAAAGUGCUGGGAUUACAGGCAUGAGCCACUGUGCCUGGCCUCAUUUAAUUCUUAUAACAACCUGAUGAGCAAGGUCAGCGUCAGUGUCUUCAUUUUACAGACAUACUAGUUGAGGCCAGGGCAGUGAAGUAACUUGCAGAGACAGGAUUUAAGCUCAGGUCGUCCUGACAGUAAACCGGGCUCUCAAGUCUCUUCAAUGUAACACUGAUUGCAGGCACUGCUUGAACUGAUGGCCCUCAGUCCUCCAUGUGUCAGAUUGAAUUUCCUCUGCCUCCAAAACACAGCUGGGGGUCUUGGCUCUGGAAUGCUAAGGUCUCAAUCCUGGAGGCUGGAGAGGGCAAUCCUAGCCUGUCCUGUCCAGCCUGAAUUCUCAAGUGCAGGCCAUCAUACCGGGGCCCAGAGAUGAUGCUUCCUGGAGACAGAGGUGAAGCUCUAGCUGUCUGCAGGGGUUGGCCGGGACUCAGUGCUCACUCUUGCCUCAGUGGGAGUGGCAGAGGCUCAUACGGUGAUGUGCUCCUCCUCCCCAGUGCUCUCCAAGUCUAUCCAGGCCUCACAGCCUGGAAUUGGAGUCUCAGAUACCGUGGUUAGGUUAGCUAUGGGGCCACGAUGGGCCAGCUCUGAAGUAGUGUCACUUGCAGAGCUAACCAAGCGUGAGAUUGCUCAGAUGGCUGGAACAAGCGAGUCCCCUGUGCAUCCCUUCUCCCUUCAGCCAGCCACAGGCUCCUUUAGCUCUCACCUAGGUCCUGUUCCUGCCAUAAUGUGACCUGACACUGAUGAGAUCACAAAGCCAGUAUCCAUGGGUCCCACUCACUGUGGACAAGGGCUUCAUCUCCCAGUGGGAAGCCUCAGUCCCUGGUCCCUGGAGAGGGGAUCUGGGUCUCUCUGCAUCCAGUGGGAGAGCCUGAAUAGACCUGCAGGAGAGUUCCAGAGAUGUGGGUUCAAGUUCCAGUUCUGCCACUUACGAUUCCAUGAUCCACAGCGAAUUCCUUGUGCCUCAGUUGCCUCACUUGUAAACAAGAGUAAUAACAGUUCUUUACCUAUCUCAGUGGGAAGGUUGAACAACUCCAAGCUCCAUGACUUGCACAGGUAAACACAAAGAGCCUUGAAUGUACUAUUUCACAGGUGUAAUUAUCUCUAUCCUGCAAGUGAGUUAAAUAGCACAUUCUCCAUUACUAAAUGUCUGAGUGGGAAUCUGAAUCCAAUUCAGUCUAAUUCCGAGUCAUUAUCUUCCCUCUGAACCAUAAGGCUGGGCUCAGUUAGGUAUUCAAAUCUGAGCUGUGGGACUUGUAUCUAGAAUAUAUAAAGAACACUUACAACUCAAUAAUCAAAAAGACAAAUAACUCAAUUAGAAUAUGGGCAAAGGAUCUGAAUAUCCAUUUCUCCAUGGAAGGCAUACGAAUGACCAAAAAGCAAAUGAAAAGAUGCUGCACAUCAUCAGGCAUCAGGGAAAUACAAAUCAAAACCACGAGGAAAUGCCACUUCACACCCAGUAAGAUGGGGAUAACCAAAGACAGACAAUAGCCAGCACGAGGCUGUGGGGAAACCGGAGCCCUCAUAUACAGUUGUGUAGGAGUAUAAAAUGGGGCAGCCACGCUGGAACAAAGCCUGGCAGUUCCUCAAACGGCUAAACGGAGAGUCACCAUAAGACCCAGCAAUUCCAUUCCUAGGCUGAUACUCAAGAGAAUUGAAAACAUACAUCCAUGCAAAACUUGUACAAAAAUGCUCAGAGCAGCAUUAUUGAUAAUAGAUGAAAAGAGGAAACAAUCCGAAUAUUCAGCUAAUGAAUGGAUAAACAAAAUAUGGUCUAUCCAUACAGUGGAAUAUUAUUCAGCCACAGAAAGAAAUGAAGGGCUGAUACAUGCUACAAUAUGAAUUAACCUUGAAAACAUGAUGAUAAGUUGCCAGGUGCAGUGGCACGUGCCUGUGGUCCCAGCUACUCUGGAGGCUGAGGUGGGAGGAUCACUUGAUCCCAGGAGUUCAAGGCCACAGUGUGCUCCAGUGGCCUGUGAGUAGCCACUGUACUCCAGCCUGGGCAAUAUAGCAAGGCCCCAUCUCUAAAUAAAUAAAAAUAAAUGAUAAAAUUAAAAGAAACAAGAUUUAAAACAUUCCACUGAUUACAUAAUUCAAUUUAUAUGAAAGUCCAGAAUAAACAAAUUUGUAGGGAGAGAAAGUAGAGUGGUGUUUGC